RNAcentral lists this ribosomal RNA (253 nucleotides) under uncultured bacterium. RNAcentral describes it as "partial 16S ribosomal RNA". It matches the Rfam family "Bacterial small subunit ribosomal RNA", at positions 524 to 776 of the family's 1533-position model. The record is from RNAcentral.
UACGUAGGGAGCAAGCGUUGUCCGGAAUCAUUGGGCGUAAAGCGCGCGUAGGUGGCCUCAUAAGUCCGCUGUGAAAGUCAAAGGCUCAACCUUUGAAAGCCGGUGGAUACUGUGAGGCUAGAGUACGGAAGAGGCGAGUGGAAUUCCUGGUGUAGCGGUGGAAUGCGCAGAUAUCAGGAGGAACACCAAUAGCGAAGGCAGCUCGCUGGGACGUUACUGACACUGAGACUCGAAAGCAUGGGGAGCAAACAGG